This is a transfer RNA of Sporothrix schenckii ATCC 58251, 72 nucleotides long. It matches the Rfam family "tRNA". Rfam says of the family: Transfer RNA (tRNA) molecules are approximately 80 nucleotides in length. Their secondary structure includes four short double-helical elements and three loops (D, anti-codon, and T loops). The record is from Rfam. NCBI's taxonomy places the organism in Eukaryota, Fungi, Ascomycota, Sordariomycetes, Ophiostomatales, Ophiostomataceae.
GCGUCCUUGGUCUAACGGCUAGGAUUUCGGUUUUCCAUACCGAAGGUUCGGGUUCGACUCCCGGAGGUCGCA